CUCUCCUGCCAACAUUUAAACACUUCCUGUAAGACAGGCGGGCGGCAGGAAGUUGCACCGUUGACCGGAGAUGCUUCAGUCGAGAGCAUGAAAGAAGCGCAAGCGUGCCGAUCGUGGCUUCCAACUUUUGAGUCAUGGCUUUAAUGGGAAUGGCAUCUGGCUGGAUCUCCGCUCCCUCCCGAACGCCCACGCCGAACCGACGUGCAGGAACACUCUUCCUAUUUCCAUUAAAGUUCAUUUAACCUCUACGCACACAUACGGGUCCCGGGGUCUCUUCCUGAUGGGUCUGGACUUUACUGCCGCUGGGACUUUUGCUUAAAACUCUUAACAAACAGAG
Long non-coding RNA from Puntigrus tetrazona (Sumatra barb), 337 nucleotides. RefSeq lists it as uncharacterized. The transcript is spliced from 3 exons. Lineage: Eukaryota; Metazoa; Chordata; Actinopteri; Cypriniformes; Cyprinidae. The record is from RefSeq and is a predicted model, not a curated record.